CCAAAGUAUCCUGUGCUAUCUUGUAUUGCUCGUGAUGUGCUAGCUGUGCAAGCAUCUACCGUGGCAUCCGAAUCAGCCUUUAGCAUCGGUGGGAGAGUAGUUAGUGAUUAUAGGAGCAGGCUAAAAAGUGAUACUGUUGAGGCUCUGAUUUGCUUACAGGACUGGCUACGAGCUGCAGACCCUUCAGUGAACAAAACAACCACCACCGAUGUUGACGAUGAAGAGUGUCAGAUUCUUGUGACAAUGCCACCAAAUCUUCAAGAAUACAUUCCAGACCAUUAAAAGGUUUCUUACAAGUAAAAGCAGUUGCUUCUCUAAUAAAUUAGGAAGCUGAUGGUUGUUGAGUUUGCUGAUCACUGUUGCAAUAUGGAGAAACUGCUUUUACUUGCUCAUCAACUCGAUGUAUCUAGUUUUGGUAGCAAUACGGGAG
This is a long non-coding RNA of Lolium rigidum, 430 nucleotides long. RefSeq lists it as uncharacterized. NCBI's taxonomy places the organism in Eukaryota, Viridiplantae, Streptophyta, Magnoliopsida, Poales, Poaceae. The transcript has 4 exons. The record is from RefSeq and is a predicted model, not a curated record.